RNAcentral lists this ribosomal RNA (292 nucleotides) under uncultured bacterium. Its description in RNAcentral is "partial 16S ribosomal RNA". It matches the Rfam family "Bacterial small subunit ribosomal RNA", at positions 505 to 796 of the family's 1533-position model. The record is from RNAcentral.
GUGCCAGCCGCCGCGGUAAUACGGAGGGGGCUAGCGUUGUUCGGAAUUACUGGGCGUAAAGCGCGCGUAGGUGGCUUUGUAAGUUAGAGGUGAAAGCCCGGAGCUCAACUCCGGAAUUGCCUUUAAGACUGCAUCGCUAGAACGUCGGAGAGGUAAGUGGAAUUCCGAGUGUAGAGGUGAAAUUCGUAGAUAUUCGGAAGAACACCAGUGGCGAAGGCGACUUACUGGACGACUGUUGACACUGAGGUGCGAAAGCGUGGGGAGCAAACAGGAUUAGAAACCCCUGUAGUCC